GGUUUGAUUAUGGCUCAGAUUGAACGCUGGCGGCAUGCCUUACACAUGCAAGUCGGACGGCAGCGCGGGGGCAACCCYGGCGGCGAGUGGCGAACGGGUGAGUAAUACAUCGGAACGUGUCCUGUAGUGGGGGAUAGCCCGGCGAAAGCCGGAUUAAUACCGCAUACGACCUAAGGGAGAAAGCGGGGGAUCUUCGGACCUCGCGCUAUAGGGGCGGCCGAUGGCAGAUUAGCUAGUUGGUGGGGUAAAGGCCUACCAAGGCGACGAUCUGUAGCUGGUCUGAGAGGACGACCAGCCACACUGGGACUGAGACACGGCCCAGACUCCUACGGGAGGCAGCAGUGGGGAAUUUUGGACAAUGGGGGCAACCCUGAUCCAGCAAUGCCGCGUGUGUGAAGAAGGCCUUCGGGUUGUAAAGCACUUUUGUCCGGAAAGAAAACUUCGCUCCUAAUAUGGGUGGAGGAUGACGGUACCGGAAGAAUAAGCACCGGCUAACUACGUGCCAGCAGCCGCGGUAAUACGUAGGGUGCGAGCGUUAAUCGGAAUUACUGGGCGUAAAGCGUGCGCAGGCGGUCUGUUAAGACCGAUGUGAAAUCCCCGGGCUUAACCUGGGAACUGCAUUGGUGACUGGCAGGCUUGAGUGUGGCAGAGGGGGGUAGAAUUCCACGUGUAGCAGUGAAAUGCGUAGAGAUGUGGAGGAAUACCGAUGGCGAAGGCAG
This 719-nucleotide ribosomal RNA is filed under the name uncultured Burkholderia sp. RNAcentral's name for it is "bacterial SSU rRNA". It matches the Rfam family "Bacterial small subunit ribosomal RNA", at positions 10 to 724 of the family's 1533-position model. The record is from RNAcentral. Lineage: Bacteria; Pseudomonadati; Pseudomonadota; Betaproteobacteria; Burkholderiales; Burkholderiaceae.